CCUACGGGAGGCAGCAGUGAGGAAUAUUGGUCAAUGGACGAGAGUCUGAACCAGCCAAGUAGCGUGAAGGAUGACUGCCCUAUGGGUUGUAAACUUCUUUUAUAUGGGAAUAAAACGUUCCACGUGUGGGAUUUUGUAUGUACCAUAUGAAUAAGGAUCGGCUAACUCCGUGCCAGCAGCCGCGGUAAUACGGAGGAUCCGAGCGUUAUCCGGAUUUAUUGGGUUUAAAGGGAGCGUAGGUGGAUUGUUAAGUCAGUUGUGAAAGUUUGCGGCUUAACCGUAAAAUUGCAGUUGAAACUGGCAGUCUUGAGUACAGUAGAGGUGGGCGGAAUUCGUGGUGUAGCGGUGAAAUGCUUAGAUAUCACGAAGAACUCCGAUUGCGAAGGCAGUUCACUGGACUGCAACUGACACUGAGGCUCGAAAGUGUGGGUAUCAAACAGGAUGAGAUACCCGAGUAGUC
RNAcentral lists this ribosomal RNA (460 nucleotides) under uncultured bacterium. Its description in RNAcentral is "partial 16S ribosomal RNA". It matches the Rfam family "Bacterial small subunit ribosomal RNA", at positions 338 to 795 of the family's 1533-position model. The record is from RNAcentral.